GGCUCGCAGAUCAAACAGUUCUUGUAGCACUAAAGUGCUUAUAGUGCAGGCAAUGUUUAGUCGUCUACUGCAUUAUGAGCACUUCAAGUCCUGCAAGCUGUAGAACUACAACUUCAGUAUGUCUUUCAAUCAAGCU
RNAcentral lists this microRNA precursor (136 nucleotides) under Ornithorhynchus anatinus (platypus). RNAcentral describes it as "microRNA oan-mir-20a precursor (oan-mir-20a-1)". Its record names the gene oan-mir-20a-1. The stretch from base 21 to 97 matches the Rfam family "mir-17 microRNA precursor family". Rfam says of the family: This family represents the microRNA (miRNA) precursor mir-17, family, which includes mir-20, mir-91, and mir-103. miRNAs are transcribed as ~70nt precursors (modelled here) and subsequently processed by the Dicer enzyme to give a ~22nt product. In this case the mature sequence comes from the 3' arm of the precursor. The extents of the hairpin precursors are not generally known and are estimated based on hairpin prediction. The record is from miRBase by way of RNAcentral. Lineage: Eukaryota; Metazoa; Chordata; Mammalia; Monotremata; Ornithorhynchidae.